AGGCAGUGGGGGCGUGCUUAAACAUGCAAGUCGAACGAUGAAGCCCUUCGGGGUGGAUUAGUGGCGAACGGGUGAGUAACACGUGGGCAAUCUGCCCUUCACUCUGGGACAAGCCCUGGAAACGGGGUCUAAUACCGGAUAACACUCUGUCCCGCAUGGGACGGGGUUGAAAGCUCCGGCGGUGAAGGAUGAGCCCGCGGCCUAUCAGCUUGUUGGUGGGGUAAUGGCCUACCAAGGCGACGACGGGUAGCCGGCCUGAGAGGGCGACCGGCCACACUGGGACUGAGACACGGCCCAGACUCCUACGGGAGGCAGCAGUGGGGAAUAUUGCACAAUGGGCGAAAGCCUGAUGCAGCGACGCCGCGUGAGGGAUGACGGCCUUCGGGUUGUAAACCUCUUUCAGCAGGGAAGAAGCGAAAGUGACGGUACCUGCAGAAGAAGCGCCGGCUAACUACGUGCCAGCAGCCGCGGUAAUACGUAGGGCGCAAGCGUUGUCCGGGAAUUAUUGGGCGUAAAGAGCUCGUAGGCGGCUUGUCACGUCGGAUGUGAAAGCCCGGGGCUUAACCCCGGGUCUGCAUUCGAUACGGGCUAGCUAGAGUGUGGUAGGGGAGAUCGGAAUUCCUGGUGUAGCGGUGAAAUGCGCAGAUAUCAGGAGGAACACCGGUGGCGAAGGCGGAUCUCUGGGCCAUUACUGACGCUGAGGAGCGAAAGCGUGGGGAGCGAACAGGAUUAGAUACCCUGGUAGUCCACGCCGUAAACGUUGGGAACUAGGUGUUGGCGACAUUCCACGUCGUCGGUGCCGCAGCUAACGCAUUAAGUUCCCCGCCUGGGGAGUACGGCCGCAAGGCUAAAACUCAAAGGAUUGACGGGGGCCCGCACAAGCAGCGGAGCAUGUGGCUUAAUUCGACGCAACGCGAAGAACCUUACCAAGGCUUGACAUAUACCGGAAAGCAUCAGAGAUGGUGCCCCCCUUGUGGUCGGUAUCAGGUGGUGCAUGGCUGUCGUCAGCUCGUGUCGUGAGAUGUUGGGUUAAGUCCCGCAACGAGCGCAACCCUUGUUCUGUGUUGCCAGCAUGCCCUUCGGGGUGAUGGGGACUCACAGGAGACUGCCGGGGUCAACUCGGAGGAAGGUGGGGACGACGUCAAGUCAUCAUGCCCCUUAUGUCUUGGGCUGCACACGUGCUACAAUGGCCGGUACAAUGAGCUGCGAUGCCGCGAGGCGGAGCGAAUCUCAAAAAGCCGGUCUCAGUUCGGAUUGGGGUCUGCAACUCGACCCCAUGAAGUCGGAGUUGCUAGUAAUCGCAGAUCAGCAUUGCUGCGGUGAAUACGUUCCCGGGCCUUGUACACACCGCCCGUCACGUCACGAAAGUCGGUAACACCCGAAGCCGGUGGCCCAACCCCUUGUGGGAGGGAGCUUCGAAAGGUGGACGGGGC
RNAcentral lists this ribosomal RNA (1433 nucleotides) under Streptomyces sp. Its description in RNAcentral is "bacterial SSU rRNA". It matches the Rfam family "Bacterial small subunit ribosomal RNA". The record is from RNAcentral. Lineage: Bacteria; Bacillati; Actinomycetota; Actinomycetes; Kitasatosporales; Streptomycetaceae.